GGUUAAGCGACUAAGCGUACACGGUGGAUGCCCUGGCAGUCAGAGGCGAUGAAGGACGUGCUAAUCUGCGAUAAGCGUCGGUAAGGUGAUAUGAACCGUUAUAACCGGCGAUUUCCGAAUGGGGAAACCCAGUGUGUUUCGACACACUAUCAUUAACUGAAUCCAUAGGUUAAUGAGGCGAACCGGGGGAACUGAAACAUCUAAGUACCCCGAGGAAAAGAAAUCAACCGAGAUUCCCCCAGUAGCGGCGAGCGAACGGGGAGCAGCCCAGAGCCUGAAUCAGUGUGUGUGUUAGUGGAAGCGUCUGGAAAGGCGUGCGAUACAGGGUGACAGCCCCGUACACAAAAAUGCACAUGCUGUGAGCUCGAUGAGUAGGGCGGGACACGUGGUAUCCUGUCUGAAUAUGGGGGGACCAUCCUCCAAGGCUAAAUACUCCUGACUGACCGAUAGUGAACCAGUACCGUGAGGGAAAGGCGAAAAGAACCCCGGCGAGGGGAGUGAAAAAGAACCUGAAACCGUGUACGUACAAGCAGUGGGAGCACGCUUAGGCGUGUGACUGCGUACCUUUUGUAUAAUGGGUCAGCGACUUAUAUUCUGUAGCAAGGUUAACCGAAUAGGGGAGCCGAAGGGAAACCGAGUCUUAACUGGGCGUUAAGUUGCAGGGUAUAGACCCGAAACCCGGUGAUCUAGCCAUGGGCAGGUUGAAGGUUGGGUAACACUAACUGGAGGACCGAACCGACUAAUGUUGAAAAAUUAGCGGAUGACUUGUGGCUGGGGGUGAAAGGCCAAUCAAACCGGGAGAUAGCUGGUUCUCCCCGAAAGCUAUUUAGGUAGCGCCUCGUGAAUUCAUCUCCGGGGGUAGAGCACUGUUUCGGCAAGGGGGUCAUCCCGACUUACCAACCCGAUGCAAACUGCGAAUACCGGAGAAUGUUAUCACGGGAGACACACGGCGGGUGCUAACGUCCGUCGUGAAGAGGGAAACAACCCAGACCGCCAGCUAAGGUCCCAAAGUCAUGGUUAAGUGGGAAACGAUGUGGGAAGGCCCAGACAGCCAGGAUGUUGGCUUAGAAGCAGCCAUCAUUUAAAGAAAGCGUAAUAGCUCACUGGUCGAGUCGGCCUGCGCGGAAGAUGUAACGGGGCUAAACCAUGCACCGAAGCUGCGGCAGCGACACUAUGUGUUGUUGGGUAGGGGAGCGUUCUGUAAGCCUGUGAAGGUGUGCUGUGAGGCAUGCUGGAGGUAUCAGAAGUGCGAAUGCUGACAUAAGUAACGAUAAAGCGGGUGAAAAGCCCGCUCGCCGGAAGACCAAGGGUUCCUGUCCAACGUUAAUCGGGGCAGGGUGAGUCGACCCCUAAGGCGAGGCCGAAAGGCGUAGUCGAUGGGAAACAGGUUAAUAUUCCUGUACUUGGUGUUACUGCGAAGGGGGGACGGAGAAGGCUAUGUUGGCCGGGCGACGGUUGUCCCGGUUUAAGCGUGUAGGCUGGUUUUCCAGGCAAAUCCGGAAAAUCAAGGCUGAGGCGUGAUGACGAGGCACUACGGUGCUGAAGCAACAAAUGCCCUGCUUCCAGGAAAAGCCUCUAAGCAUCAGGUAACAUCAAAUCGUACCCCAAACCGACACAGGUGGUCAGGUAGAGAAUACCAAGGCGCUUGAGAGAACUCGGGUGAAGGAACUAGGCAAAAUGGUGCCGUAACUUCGGGAGAAGGCACGCUGAUAUGUAGGUGAAGCGACUUGCUCGUGGAGCUGAAAUCAGUCGAAGAUACCAGCUGGCUGCAACUGUUUAUUAAAAACACAGCACUGUGCAAACACGAAAGUGGACGUAUACGGUGUGACGCCUGCCCGGUGCCGGAAGGUUAAUUGAUGGGGUUAGCGCAAGCGAAGCUCUUGAUCGAAGCCCCGGUAAACGGCGGCCGUAACUAUAACGGUCCUAAGGUAGCGAAAUUCCUUGUCGGGUAAGUUCCGACCUGCACGAAUGGCGUAAUGAUGGCCAGGCUGUCUCCACCCGAGACUCAGUGAAAUUGAACUCGCUGUGAAGAUGCAGUGUACCCGCGGCAAGACGGAAAGACCCCGUGAACCUUUACUAUAGCUUGACACUGAACAUUGAGCCUUGAUGUGUAGGAUAGGUGGGAGGCUUUGAAGUGUGGACGCCAGUCUGCAUGGAGCCGACCUUGAAAUACCACCCUUUAAUGUUUGAUGUUCUAACGUUGACCCGUAAUCCGGGUUGCGGACAGUGUCUGGUGGGUAGUUUGACUGGGGCGGUCUCCUCCUAAAGAGUAACGGAGGAGCACGAAGGUUGGCUAAUCCUGGUCGGACAUCAGGAGGUUAGUGCAAUGGCAUAAGCCAGCUUGACUGCGAGCGUGACGGCGCGAGCAGGUGCGAAAGCAGGUCAUAGUGAUCCGGUGGUUCUGAAUGGAAGGGCCAUCGCUCAACGGAUAAAAGGUACUCCGGGGAUAACAGGCUGAUACCGCCCAAGAGUUCAUAUCGACGGCGGUGUUUGGCACCUCGAUGUCGGCUCAUCACAUCCUGGGGCUGAAGUAGGUCCCAAGGGUAUGGCUGUUCGCCAUUUAAAGUGGUACGCGAGCUGGGUUUAGAACGUCGUGAGACAGUUCGGUCCCUAUCUGCCGUGGGCGCUGGAGAACUGAGGGGGGCUGCUCCUAGUACGAGAGGACCGGAGUGGACGCAUCACUGGUGUUCGGGUUGUCAUGCCAAUGGCACUGCCCGGUAGCUAAAUGCGGAAGAGAUAAGUGCUGAAAGCAUCUAAGCACGAAACUUGCCCCGAGAUGAGUUCUCCCUGACUCCUUGAGAGUCCUGAAGGAACGUUGAAGACGACGACGUUGAUAGGCCGGGUGUGUAAGCGCAGCGAUGCGUUGAGCUAACCGGUACUAAUGAACCGUGAGGCUUAACCUU
RNAcentral lists this ribosomal RNA (2903 nucleotides) under Escherichia coli. Its description in RNAcentral is "23S ribosomal RNA". It matches the Rfam family "Bacterial large subunit ribosomal RNA". Lineage: Bacteria; Pseudomonadati; Pseudomonadota; Gammaproteobacteria; Enterobacterales; Enterobacteriaceae. The record is from RNAcentral.